RNAcentral lists this ribosomal RNA (231 nucleotides) under uncultured bacterium. RNAcentral describes it as "partial 16S ribosomal RNA". It matches the Rfam family "Bacterial small subunit ribosomal RNA", at positions 118 to 351 of the family's 1533-position model. The record is from RNAcentral.
UGAGCAACCUGCCCUUGACUCUGGGAUAACACCGGGAAACCGGAGCUAAUACAGGAUACGAACCGCACAGGCAUCUGAGCGGUUGGAAAGAACUUCGGUCAAGGAUGGGCUCGCGGCCUAUCAGCUUGUCGGUGAGGUAACGGCCCACCAAGGCGACGACGGGUAGCCGGCCUGAGAGGGCGACCGGCCACACUGGGACUGAGACACGGCCCAGACUCCUACGGGAGGCAG